CUAGCUGUAAACGAUGGAUACUAGGCGUUGAGAGUAUCGACCCUCUCAGUGUCGUAGCUAACGCGUUAAGUAUCCCGCCUGGGGAGUACGCGCGCAAGCGUGAAACUCAAAGGAAUUGACGGGGGCCCGCACAAGCGGUGGAGUAUGUGGUUUAAUUCGAUGCAACGCGAAGAGCCUUACCAGGGCUUGACAUGUCCGGAACCCUGCCCAAAGGCGGGGGUGCCUACGGGAACCGGAACACAGGUGGUGC
RNAcentral lists this ribosomal RNA (250 nucleotides) under uncultured Chroococcidiopsis sp. Its description in RNAcentral is "partial 16S ribosomal RNA". It matches the Rfam family "Bacterial small subunit ribosomal RNA", at positions 796 to 1044 of the family's 1533-position model. Lineage: Bacteria; Bacillati; Cyanobacteriota; Cyanophyceae; Chroococcidiopsidales; Chroococcidiopsidaceae. The record is from RNAcentral.